CCUGGCUCAGGAUGAACGCUGACAGAAUGCUUAACACAUGCAAGUCUACUUGAAUUUGGGUGUUUUAACUUCGAUUUGGGUGGCGGACGGGUGAGUAACGCGUAAAGAACUUGCCUUACAGUUAGGGACAACAUUUGGAAACGAAUGCUAAUACCUGAUAUUAUGAUGUUAGGGCAUCCUAAGAUUAUGACAGCUAUAUGCGCUGUGAGAGAGCUUUGCGUCCCAUUAGCUAGUUGGAGAGGUAACAGCUCACCAAGGCGAUGAUGGGUAGCCGGCCUGAGAGGGUGAUCGGCCACAAGGGGACUGAGACACGGCCCUUACUCCUACGG
RNAcentral lists this ribosomal RNA (329 nucleotides) under uncultured bacterium. RNAcentral's name for it is "bacterial SSU rRNA". It matches the Rfam family "Bacterial small subunit ribosomal RNA", at positions 18 to 344 of the family's 1533-position model. The record is from RNAcentral.